Long non-coding RNA from Anguilla anguilla (European eel), 736 nucleotides. RefSeq lists it as uncharacterized. The transcript is spliced from 3 exons. The record is from RefSeq and is a predicted model, not a curated record. Lineage: Eukaryota; Metazoa; Chordata; Actinopteri; Anguilliformes; Anguillidae.
UGGACGGUUACUCUAAUCUCAACUGAUAGGCUGAUCCACAAACUCCGUUCACACUCCUGCGCAGUAAAAUAACACAUCACAAUUUCACUAAGACAAGACAGUCAAGAAGUGGUCAUCAAAAUGUUUUCUACGAGGAACUUGGACACAUUAAUUGUAAUAAUUUUCCUUUCCAUGUUAUGUUAUUCUUUGAAGUCUGAAGCAAAACCACUGGGAAAGCGAUCCAUAAGUGAAGUACAGUUCAUGCACAACCUUGGAGAACACAAACAUGUGCAAGGGAGACAGCACUGGCUUCGGAUGAAGUUGAAAGACAUCCACACAGCGUCGCUGAGAAAUACUGACAGGGGAGAACGAGUUAGAGCAAGGAGGCUCCUUCCCGAAGAUUUUCCGGUACUGGACGAGUUAACACCCAGUGAAGUCGAAUAUAUAUUGAACUCUCUGGAAAAGUUUCUGAAUUAUCGGCAAAAUUGAAUGUGUGUCUAAGGGCAACGAGGAAACUAAAUGUCUAAAACGAUGGCCUUAUUUUUUUAAAUUUUAGUUUAUUUUGUUGGCAGAUGAUAUUUUAGUAUUCAAAGAAAGGUGUGCAUUACAAACGCUAAGCCAUUUAUGCACCUGCAAAAGCACUUUAUUUAUUCCUGAAAUUUUGAAUGACGGAUGUGACCAUUUUAGAUUAUUUAUUUUUAUCAAUAUUUAUUUUAAACCGAAUACAAAACAAAUACGUGUAUUAAGAAUAUAGGAC